This is a long non-coding RNA of Vespula pensylvanica (western yellowjacket), 1088 nucleotides long. RefSeq lists it as uncharacterized. Lineage: Eukaryota; Metazoa; Arthropoda; Insecta; Hymenoptera; Vespidae. The transcript has 5 exons. The record is from RefSeq and is a predicted model, not a curated record.
AUUUUAUUUUUGUUUACUUCUUUGACUUCUAGUAUUGGCGUAUAUAAUUUAAGGUUAGAAAUUAGUAUUAGGUUAAAUAUUUAAGUAUAAGUCAGCUAUGGAAAAACGAUAGGAGAAGAAUAUGAAAAGCAGAUCCUCUCUCACAUUGAAGACGGAAAACUAACUUUUCAAAAAUGGCCAGUUUAUCCUGCAAAGUAUUGAAAUAUUAAUUCAACACCACUGAUUAAACAUGAUAAAUCGCAAGAAGACUUGGUACGGCACAUUCUAUUGGCCAAUUACCUCUGGAUGAGAAAGAAAAGAAAUUUGAUAAAACAGCGGAACCUUUUCUUGUCGAAUUUGGAAUUGAUUUAAAUAAAACCAAUUGACCCAAACGGAAAGAAAAACAAUUGGGGAAAAAGCAACUCAUUAUCGACUAUAUUCAAAAAUCAUCCUUGUCGAGGCAGAAGAAGUUCUACAAACGGAGAGCAAAUCGAAAAGUCAGAUUUGGGUCUAAGAAAGAUGAUGCUGCGUGUGAUGGACGUGAAGAGUAAAGUAAUUAUUUACUAUGAACUGCUGCUGCCGGUCAAACGAUUGAUUAAAAACUUCACUAUCAGCAAGUGGAAAAAUUGUGCCAAGCCAUCGAAAUUGAAAAACAUAUUGAAUUACUAUUGAUGAAUUGACAGAACCACAAUAGUUGUAAUUUCGAAAAGGUUAAAGAGAAAGUUGACAGAAAGAGUUUUAAUAAAAUAGAAAUACAACCACUAAGAAUGAAGUUAUAUAAUUGCCAAGCUUCGUUCUUGCUAGUUGUACUUUCAAUUUAUUAUUCUUUCACAUACGCUACAAGCGUAGCAUUUAUACGAUACGUUGCAGGAUCUGGAAAUUGUUUAUCUACAAGCUGAGAGGAAAGAAAUAAAUGAAUACCAUCGAAUUCGAUUGGUUUCAUAAAAGAUCAAAACGAAAGUUCGUUUUCACGUCAUCUAAGAGAGUUUUUCCCUACGUUUUUUCCAAACGCUUCAUUAUGUUUUACGUUGUUCACUUUAUAUUAUAUAUUAUUAUAAUUAUUUUAAAGAAAACAUUCGACGAAGUUUUACUUUUUUCUUGUAAAUUUA